RNAcentral lists this ribosomal RNA (254 nucleotides) under uncultured bacterium. Its description in RNAcentral is "partial 16S ribosomal RNA". It matches the Rfam family "Bacterial small subunit ribosomal RNA", at positions 524 to 776 of the family's 1533-position model. The record is from RNAcentral.
CACGUAGGCACCAAGCGUUAUCCGGAUUUAUUGGGCGUAAAGAGCUCGUAGGCGGUUCGGUAAGUCGGGUGUGAAAACUCUGGGCUCAACCCAGAGAGGCCACCCGAUACUGCUGUGACUAGAGUGCGGUAGGGGAGCGGGGAAUUCCUGGUGUAGCGGUGAAAUGCGCAGAUAUCAGGAGGAACACCAGCGGCGAAGGCGCCGCUCUGGACCGUAACUGACGCUGAGGAGCGAAAGCAUGGGUAGCAAACAGG